Molecule: non-coding RNA, 2292 nt
Organism: Megalopta genalis
Lineage: Eukaryota; Metazoa; Arthropoda; Insecta; Hymenoptera; Halictidae
Source: RefSeq, a predicted model, not a curated record
GCCCUUCUCGGCCCGGGUCCGAUCGAGCUCUCGCCGUACCACCGUGCAGAGCGCGAUUCGAAGGCCGAAGCCCGUGUCGAAUCCGCGAAGCGAACAAAGUUACGGCCCUCGUCUUAAACGACCGGAGUUCUCCGGUUCCUUGCCACGAGAGACUCGACGAGUCUAUUAGCGACAAUGAUUUCCCGGCAAUUAGGGGACUCGAUCGACGCGAGAGAAAGGUCUAUUAAUGCGAUUCGAUGGCCCCGCUCGGCCGAGAGAUGGCGAUCUCGAUUUGUCCCGUGCCCCCUCGCGAUUGGCCGGCGAUUUUUCUGGCACCGAAUCUAAAAUCAUUCUCUCUGUUCCUGCUCGUCCCCGGCAUCCCGGCAUCCCGGCAUCCCGGCAUCCCAGCACCACCACCCGGCCUACCCUCGCGCGUCUCUCGUCUCUCGUCUCUCGUCUCGCGCUCGUCGCGCGCCUCGCCGAGCCAUCGGGCCAUCGGGCCAGCGCUCGAAGUGUAUUGUGUUCGUCUCGCGCGUUUGCUCCUUCCUUCUUCGCCGUCAUCUUCUCUUCCGUUUUCGUUUAGGUCCCUGUACGGUGCUCUAAACUUAGCCGGCGAUCGUUCGUCCGCUCGUUCGCUCGUCCGCUCGUUCCCGUUCCCGUUCCCGUUGCCUUCGCCGUUCUCUCGUCCUCCUGUUCUUUUUCUCCGGAGCAGCCAGGUCCCGGUGUCUCCGCGUCUUCCCUCUUCUAGGAGAGUCCACCAGGCAGUUUGCAUCUUCCCCGUUCUUUGGGAUCCCCGGAGCUACACGCUCGCAGACGCGCGUCCGAACGCUCCGCGAAUCCGAGAUCUCGCGCGGCUCUUUCUGCGAAACGGGCGAAGCGACCUCGCCGUCCGUCCCAACCGCAUCGGGCAGGGUCGGGCUGCCGGCCGAAGAAUCCGUCGGUGGUGAGAGUGUCGCGUCGGAGUGAACCGGAGAAGUGAUACCGACCGGGCUUCCGGUGUAACGACCGUCUCUCGUUGCGCCCACGCCAGAGGAAAACGGCCAAGACCCGAGCUUCUGCCGCUUGUUGACCGAGUGUCUUCAAGCUGGAGCUGGCAAAGAGGGCUUUCGGCCUGAGGGGGUAAGAAACAUUUACCGUUACGAUUUCACCAGCUUUUUCGAAGCGUUCUCGACGAGUAACAAGUAAGUGAGCGACGCGCAAAAUUCUCGCGACAAACGCGUUUUCGUCGUAACUCUCGCCCGUUACGAUCCCAUCGAUCUUCCGCGAUAUCUCGAAACCGUUUCGAUAAUGUUAACUCGUAAACCGAGUCCCGACGAUUUGCCCACGCGCUUCUUGUCGCACGGAAGAACACGGGAAACGAUUCGGGUUAACGAACGUAGAACGAAUCCUCUCCGUGGAUACAGCGUUUAAGAGAAAAUGGUUUCACCGAACCAACCCGAGGAGAAUUUCGCGAUAAUGGAAUACGGGUUUUUAGCGGGCUCCCUCGGAAGCGGCGGCCUUCCGAUCGAUUCGAGCCAUGCCGCGUCGGGCCGCGACGGGCCGCGCCGCGCCCGCGGGUUAAUAGAUACCGCGAGGGCCAGACGAGGGGAACGCGGCCGUGGAAAAAUUAAUCUGGCGCGGCGAGCGCGGCGACGAUGUAAUUCCGCGCGAUCUCACGGAAUCCGAUCCGGCACCGUGCUCUCGUUUAACCAAUCUUCCCGCCUCUUAUCGCGACCCGACCCGGCCCGCGUAUUCCUCGCGACAUAAUUCUUUUCGGAAUUGGCUGCGCCGCGCGUCGCUCGCGGCGCAGAUUUCACGCCGCACCCGCUGAAUCGAGCACUGUGAAAAUCUACCUCCGCGCGUAUAUCUCGCUGAAUUUACAUAUCAAAUUGGACAUUUAACCGGUACUCUCGAAUACAGCCCCACGGCUGCAUCUCGCUGUUCUCGGUUUUCGACGAUCGACCGUCGCAUUUUUGACCGCGGGUGCAGCGACCGUAGUCCCAAAGACUACGGCAGACCCAAGAUCGGUCCUUGUGAAUUUUUUGUUAAAUAACCAACCGAUCGAAUCGAUAAACGGAAAAUUUGUCGGAGCGUCGGCAAUUGGAUAUCGCGACCAUCCCGCGGCACGGUGAAACGAUAUCGGUAGCCGGGUAUGGAAGAACAAGAGGGCAGGGCGCGAAUAGGUGCGCGAGUCGCGAGAGCUUUAUAGGUCACCGGUUGAUAAGGUCGAGUUCAUAGAAAACGGCAGAAUCGCUUUUUUGGCGGGGGUAUGGAUCAACGGCUAGAACCGCAUUUAUUUAUCCGUUCACCGUGUGCCCGAACCCCGAACCUCGA